RNAcentral lists this ribosomal RNA (468 nucleotides) under uncultured bacterium. Its description in RNAcentral is "partial 16S ribosomal RNA". It matches the Rfam family "Bacterial small subunit ribosomal RNA", at positions 28 to 507 of the family's 1533-position model. The record is from RNAcentral.
GACGAACGCUGGCGGCGUGCUUAACACAUGCAAGUCGAACGGAAAGGCCCUGCUUUUGUGGGGUGCUCGAGUGGCGCACGGGUGUGUAACACGUGCGUAACCUGCCCUUGACUUUGGGAUAACUUCAGGAAACUGGGGCUAAUACCGGAUAGGAGCUCCUGCUGCGGGGUGGGGGUUGGAAAGUUUUGGCGGUUGGGGUUGGGCUCGCGGCUUAUCAGCUUGUUGGUGGGGUAGUGGCUUACCAAGGCUUUGACGGGUAGCCGGCCUGAGAGGGUGACCGGCCACAUUGGGACUGAGAUACGGCCCAGACUCCUACGGGAGGCAGCAGUGGGGAAUAUUGCACAAUGGGCGGAAGCCUGAUGCAGCAACGCCGCGUGCGGGAUGACGGCCUUCGGGUUGUAAACCGCUUUCGCCUGUGACGAAGCGUGAGUGACGGUAAUGGGUAAAGAAGCACCGGCUAACUACGUG